RNAcentral lists this long non-coding RNA (5871 nucleotides) under Sus scrofa (pig). Its description in RNAcentral is "lncRNA (ENSSSCG00000055750.1)". Lineage: Eukaryota; Metazoa; Chordata; Mammalia; Artiodactyla; Suidae. The record is from RNAcentral.
AUCAUGAGCAGAAGAAUGCAAGUUAUGUUUCCUAUACUAAUGAUAUCACUUAUUCAAUGGGUAUACUGGAAUUCUCUUACUGAUUUUAUAAAGCUUCCCAAAAAACUUUAAAACUUUAAAACUUUUAUACUCCCACAACAUUUUAUUGUCUACUGACUCAUUGAAUAAACUGUAGUUAAUUGCUUAAAUAAUUGUUAAUAAUAUAUAUUGAAAUAAAAAUAACAAUUCUUAUCAUUAUAUGCUGUUAAUGAUUCUCUAUCAUGAGUUGCAUGAUCUAAUGAUUUUAAGUUUAUAUACAUUAUUAUUAUUAUUAUUUGCUUUUUAGGGCCAUAUCCCCAGCAUAUGGAUGUUUCCAGGUUAGGGGUCAAGUCAGAGCUGUAGCUGUCAGCCACAGCCACAGCAACGUAGGAUCCAAGCCGCAUCUGCAACCUACACCACAGCUCACGGCAACGCUGGAUCCUCAACCCAAAGAGCAAGGCCAGGAAUCGAACCCGCACCCUUGAGGAUGUUAGUCAGAUUCAUUAACCACUGAGCCAGGAUGGGAACUCCCUAUAUACAUUAUUUCUUUCAAAAACAUUACAGAAGGCAACAUCUAGGGCUAUACAAAAGUUAGAGAGUGUAUGUAUUUUGUUUCCUUGAAUUUUUGUAGACCAAAAUAGGUUAUUAAAGAGCCAGUUUUUAAUAAUAUUCUGUAAAAUUUUAUAAAUCACCAUGUUAUUUUACAAUUUAUAAAUUGAAUUUAUGAGUAAUGUGCUUAGAUCCAUCCAGAAGUACUACUUUUAAAUAUUUAAAGUAUUAAUAUAUGUAUGUACCUUGUAUCUUAAAUACAGUUAUAAUUUUCCCUAGGCUUGAUUUUUCCUACUUUCUCUCUCUCCUUGUCUCUAUACAUGUAUAUACACAUAUACAUACAUAUAUAUGUAAUUUCUUAGAAUACUGUUUACCUCUUGCUUUAAUUAUUGCUUGCUCUUUUUGAGAAUAUUGUACUCAAAUGCAAUGGUGGGGGAAUAAACAUGCUGAAUUGCAGGGGUAUUAGACAGCUGAGGGUAAAGUGUCAGAAUUAGACUGACAUAAAAUAAAAAAUCAAAAACUUGAAGUAUAAAAUGAAAAUGCAAAAUUUUGAAAGGUUUCCAUUGUAAUAUACAUACAUAUUAAUGAAAAUAAUAGACUAAAUUGAUUGCUGAAAGAUAUAAAUGGACAAUACUGCUUUAUGAAUAUGCCAGUAAGAAAAGAUUUUGACAGGAAUGGGAAAUUCUUCAAGUUCAAUGGGAGGAUUUUCAUGUAUACAGUUUUCACUCAGUAAUGAGAGUUACUUGUAUGGCACUUUGUGUGCCACUUUAAAAGUAGACCAUUAAUACUCAAAACCAGUACCUAGCCCCUUUUCAUUUUUUCUAUAGCUUCUUAAAUGACUUAAAAUUAGAAUCCAAUCAAUCUUCCUCUAAGGAGAUACUGCUAUAUAACAGACAAAUGUUUAAUCCAUAGCAAAUAUAGGCUGAAUUUCAUUAAAUCAAAAAUGGUUAAAAAAAAAAAAAGAACAAAGAUGAAAACAGUAUAAAAGGAACUCUUGCCUAAUCAUUUAUAUUGUAUUAAGUAUAAUUUCUGAUUGCAAGAUCAAAAUAUAGUGACUAGGUCAUUUUUCACUUAUUCUAGAUAUGGUCAGCAUUUUUUAAUUGAGGUAAAUAGUAUACAAAUAUACUUAGAGAAGAGUAAGUAUUGCUGAAUGAUAUAAAGUUUGGGACUACACUUUCAUUGCAUAAAUUACUAGGCUGCUGAAUGAUAUUACUUUAUUUUCACAUUUAGAAAUAGCUAAAGUAUUGUAUACUGUGUUUUUCCUAAUUUAUUUUUAUUUAUUAAUUUGGAAGUGAAGGUAAAGGAAGCUAUUUAUAAAUAAUACUAAGUCCAUGCCCAUUUGUUCUUAAAUAAAUCUAGAUAUACCAUAGGGAUCAAAUGUGAUGGAAAUCCUAAUUGCCUCCAAACCUGAGUCUGCUCUUUCACUAGCAGAAAGAAAAUGCCUUUAUAAAAUUUAAUGGAUGAAAUAAGAAAUUGCACAUUUGACUCUACUGAAGGAAAAAAAAGUUUCUCAUAAUAUUAAAGUAAACUUAAUCUAUCCAGGCCUCCACCUAGCAUUUGCGGGACUGGGGAAGAAGUGUAAAUUUAGCCCCUGGUAUCACAUGCCUAAAUCAAGUUAAAAAAUUGUUAGAUUAAGUAUGGUCUAUGAUCCUAAAAUGACAAAGAUCAUUCAAUAACAACCUGAAAAGCCAAGUUGGAAUCCUGAAUUCAUGGACUAUUUAGAGUUCCACGCUGGACUGUGGGGAUUGAGAAAAGCUGCCCUAAGCCUGAAGUGUGUCUCCACUCUCUUCCUGCCCCCAUUUUCAUUUUGCAAGAUGAAGGGCUUUAUAUCCAUUCAAGAAGAUACUUCAGUCUACUCUCCGGCUUCCUCUCAAUUAGCUACCCCCUUGGCCCAGGGUUUUGCACACCAGUUUAUAUUCAAGAGGGCAGACUUGGGCAAGAGGCUUGAAGAGCUCUUGGAAGCAAUUUUAGGACCUUUUGUUUUAUUUUUCCUAUGAGGCGUAUUGUCUUGAGUACUUGUACACUGGCACUGACAGAGAGGCAUGAAUAUUACACUUACAUUAUGUGAACACAUUCCCUUGCUCCAUGGACUCCUCAUGCAUGGUGGAAGAAGAGAGGGAAGGGUGUAUUCUAAAAGGCAAGUAGGUCCUGGAACUUGAGCCCUCUUCCCUAUGUUUGGCACAGCACCGUUGCUCUCUCUAUUUACUGUUCAUUUUUACCACAGAAUAAAUCAAAGAUGCAAAUACAGCCUCAAGACACCUUUAACAAAUGUUUGUAAAUGAAAGUUCACUAAUAAAAUAGAAUGAGAUACAUCAACACAUAGCUACUCAUUUUGAAACUAGAAAGCAAACCCUCCAUAUUUUAUAGAAUUGACAUAUCUACAGUGCUUUACCCAGUGUUCCAUGUGACAAGAGUAGGUAGCAUAUGGAGUCUUUACCUUAACGUAAUUUAAUAUCCAGUUCUAAACAUAAGAAACACAGAUGUAAAUAAGAGAAUUUGGGAUUACCCAUUGUGGCUUAGCAGGUUAAAGACCCAACAUUGUCUCUGGGAGGAUGCAUGUUCAAUCCCUAGCUUCCCUCAGUGGGUUCGGGUUCUGACAUUGCUGCAAGCUGUGGAGUGGGUUGCAGAUGUGGCUUGAAAUCAUUGUUGCUGUGGUCAUGACAUAGUCCUUCAGCUGCAGCUCCUAUUCAAGCCCUGGCCUGGGAACUUAACAUAUGCUGCAGGUUGGCUAUAAAAAGGAAAAAAGAAAAAGAAAAUAACUUUGCAGAAAAGUGCUGGGGAAUAUACCGGGAAAUUUCUAGGAGGGAGAUGCUGUUGUGAGCUACGGUGAUUAAAGAAAGGUAAAUAGAGGAAGUAGAGUUUGAAUGUGGUCUGGGAAAAUGAUUUUAUGAGGAAAAGGAAGGGAUACAUUACAGUUGAUUUAAAACAUGUGUACAAAUUGAUGGUGAAGGGAUUGCCGAAAACAUUCAGAAAUUUACAGGAUGUAAAAAUUGUAGAUAAAAUAGUAUGAUUAAGAAUAUUUGAAUAUAUGAUUAGAAGUUAAUGGUCAGGACAAAGUAUAAAAUAUUUGGAAUAUUAAACUAAAGAAUUUUGACUUUAUCUUAUGAAUAGUGGGAAAAACACCAGAUGGAUCCUUAACCUACUGAGUGAAGCCAGGGAUUAAACCUGUGUCCUUAUGGAUGCUAGUCAGAUUUAUUUCUGCAGAGUGAUGAAAAGAACUCCUGAUCUCUUUCUCAAUUCCUCUCCCUCCUACUAGAAUGGAAGUUAUGUUUGGACAGGGGUUUGCCCUUUUGCUUUUUAUUGUAUUCUCACCUCUUAGAAUACUCUUCCCAUAGUAGGUACUCUAAAUUUUGAAUGGGCAGGAAAAAAAUGAAUGCAAGGAAAUUGGUACAAAUGCAAACCUCUGCCACAGCCUGUUUUGUUACCCUAAGCCUACUUUUUUUUUUCUUUUUUUUAUUCUACUGUUCUAUCUCCUCCACUCACUAACCUCACUAUAGUUCAUAACUCUAAGGGCAUUUAGCAUCAAACUCAUCAGCCUUCCUCUUACUUCUAUGACAUUUCCAGACUUACAGUCAUGAAAGGAAGCACAUAUCAUGUUAGUUUUCCAUCUUUUCAGAAAUAUGUUACCUUAAUAUACUUUAAAGUUUUCAUAAUAUCCAAAUCUCUCAUCUAUUUUCUUUGUAAGUUACUCCAAUUUAUGCAAAUUUCCUUGAAUUCAUUUAAAAUUUCAAGAAUCUAAUCAAUAAUUGCUUAGUCUAGGAUUUAUAAUUUUCUUCUGUAGGAUGAGUCUUUGACAGAUAUACUCACUGAGAUUUUUGAAAUACUACAUAGCCAGUGAUAAAGAAAGCAUCAGAAAUUGGUAGUUUCUGGAUCCUCAUUUCUGAUCCCUAGAAAUGGAUUUUGCCAACUAUUUUGCUGUAUGAAUACAGAUAUAAAAGUCAUGAACAGUGAAAUGAAAUAAAUAUCCGUAGAAACAUAGUACACUUGGACUAAAAAAAAAAUAGGAUAGGAAAAUACACAGACACUGAUCUGGCCCUUAAUCAUCUGUAAUUCUGGGGAGCACAUUUCUUCUGAGGCUCAGUUUUUAACAGAGAUAAAAUGGGGACAAAACAGCUUGUCAGCCUGGCUCAUGGAAUUUCUGAGGGAAUAAAAAGCAGUGAAUGUUUAUCAAAGUAUUUUAUAAAUAUUAGAAUCCAUGAUAAUUGUAAAUAUAAAAGGAACACAUUUUUUUGUAUCCACCUUCCUGUUAUAGAUGUUCAUUUGGUUUUUAAAUUUGAAUAUUUUUUUUACUACUCAGUGUUUUACCACUGACAUUCUAUAUAUGCCUUCUGCAAACAAAUGUUAUUACAGCCAAAGAUGAAUAACUUUAUGUGCUCAGUGUCUUAAUUUAAAAAAUAUUGUUUUGAUUCCUUUGUAGAGAAAAUAAUUACACACUAAUUUAGAUUUUGUGAAAAUUAGCAAUUAGGUACUUGGAUUAAAUAAGAUAGUUCAUCAAUCUAUCUAUUGUGUUUGUACUGUUAAAACUACAUUUCAUUUAUUCAAACAUUUUAUUGUUCCUGAUCACAAGUGAACCAUUAUCCAGGUAAGCAAAAUAUCUGGUCUAAAAAACUUUAGUUUCCAAAUUCAUGCAAUACCAUCACUAUCCUCUUAUAUCUUAUUCUAAAAUACUCAGAUAAAAAUAGAUUAAAUAAAAUAUGUGUAAAAACAGAAAUAUACUUGGACUCUCUCUUUUUUGGAUUUUCUAAGUCUCGAGCAAAAACAAAAGAAAAGGAAAUUGUACUCAAGUCACAUAUACACCUAAAGUCUCUGAUUUAUGUGAAAUCUUCUGUUUGGUAGAGGAUAUAGAGGAAAGAAAGGGAUAUUGAAUUUCUGACAACAUGCAUGCUUAGUGCUUUGCUACCAAUGUGGUGCACACAUAUUUAUUUAUUUUUCCUGUGCUUUCUGAAUUGAAACCGGUACAUUAUAAGCUUAUCAUACAAAUGAUUGCCAAAAGAAAAAAACAAAAACCUUGCCAUUUAUUUUCUAUUAGUUCUUCUUCUCCUGAGGUGACUGCCCUACACAGAGCCAUUUUAACCUCCUCAUGUUUUUGACAGUGGGAACAUCUUGACAUGACUCCAAUUCCAAUAUGUUGGAAGAAUAAAAACACAUUCACUUUAAAAUUCUGAAGCAUAUUAAUGAUACCUUAGAAAUACAUCUUACUUAUGAAAAAAAUCUAUUAAUUUGUACUUUUGUUAACACGUUUCAGUGUGACUAUGUGAUUAAGGUUUCACUCUGUGCUGACUGCAGCUGGAGCAACGGCAGCUG